RNAcentral lists this ribosomal RNA (440 nucleotides) under uncultured bacterium. RNAcentral's name for it is "bacterial SSU rRNA". It matches the Rfam family "Bacterial small subunit ribosomal RNA", at positions 69 to 507 of the family's 1533-position model. The record is from RNAcentral.
CUUUAAGAUAGCAAGUAUUUAAGGGGAGUGGCGACACGGGUGAGUAACACGUAGGCAAUCUACCUUAGGACUGACACAACUCGUCGAAAGACGGGCUAAUAUCAGAUAAUGCAGCGGCUCCGCAUGGAGACAGUUGUUAAAGUACAAGCGCCUGAAGAUGAGCCUGCGGUCCAUUAGCUAGUUGGUAGAGUAACGGCCUACCAAGGCAACGAUGGAUAGCUGGUCUGAGAGGAUGAUCAGCCACACUGGAACUGAGACACGGUCCAGACUCCUACGGGAGGCAGCAGUAAGGAAUAUUGCUCAAUGGCCGAAAGGCUGAAGCAGCAACGCCGCGUGAAGGAUGAAUGGCCUUUGGCCUGUAAACUUCUGUAAAAGAGGAAAAUAGUUAGGUAUAUCCUAAUGUGAUUGUACUCUUGAAGUAAGCCCCGGCUAACUACGUG